CCUACGGGGGACUGCAGUGAGGAAUAUUGGUCAAUGGGCGGGAGCCUGAACCAGCCAAGCCGCGUGAGGGAAGAAGGUACAGCGUAUCGUAAACCUCUUUUGUCAGGGAACAAAGGCGGGGACUAGUCCCCGGAUGAGGGUACCUGAAGAAAAAGCAUCGGCAAACUCCGUGCCAGCAGCCGCGGUAAUACGGAGGAUGCGAGCGUUAUCCGGAUUUAUGGGGUUUAAAGGGUGCGCAGGCGGCCUGUUAAGUCAGCGGUAAAAGCCUGGGGCUCAACCCCGGCGAGCCGUUGAAACUGGCGGGCUGGAGUUGGAGAGAAGUACGCGGAAUGCGCGGUGUAGCGGUGAAAUGCUUAGAUAUCGCGCAGAACCCCGAUUGCGAAGGCAGCGUACCGGCUCCACACUGACGCUGAGGCACGAAAGCGUGGGUAUCGAACAGGAUUAGAUACCCCUGUAGUC
Molecule: ribosomal RNA, 459 nt
Filed under: uncultured bacterium
Lineage: Bacteria
Description: partial 16S ribosomal RNA
Rfam family: Bacterial small subunit ribosomal RNA
Source: RNAcentral